This 200-nucleotide unclassified non-coding RNA is filed under the name Hevea brasiliensis (rubber tree). The record is from RNAcentral. Lineage: Eukaryota; Viridiplantae; Streptophyta; Magnoliopsida; Malpighiales; Euphorbiaceae.
CAUUACAAGCCAUCUAAUGUUGUACCGAGCAAUAAUCUCAACAAUCCCUUUCUCAAUAUUAUCCAUCUCAAUCCAUACUUUAUCUGCUCGAACCCCUUCUUGGGCAAGAAUGAGACAGUAUUGAUUUAGAACAUCCAGCAUUUUUUUCUUUUCAAGCUCAUGGAAUGCACUAAAAGUGUCUUGUUGCGGUUUUGUCACAG